Molecule: ribosomal RNA, 253 nt
Filed under: uncultured bacterium
Lineage: Bacteria
Description: partial 16S ribosomal RNA
Rfam family: Bacterial small subunit ribosomal RNA
Source: RNAcentral
UACAGAGGUGGCAAGCGUUGCUCGGAAUCACUGGGCUUAAAGGGCGCGUAGGCGGUGCGGUACGGUUGCGGUGAAAUCCCUCGGCCCAACCGAGGAACAGCCGGAGCUACGGCCGGACUAGACGGCAGCAGGGGACAGUGGAACUCCCGGUGGAGCGGUGAAAUGCGUAGAGAUCGGGAGGAACACCCGUGGCGGAGGCGGCCUGCUGGGCCGAUCCUGACGCUGAGGCGCGAAGGCGUGGGGAGCGAACGGG